GGACUACACGGGUAUCUAAUCCUGUUUGCUCCCCACGCUUUCGCGUCUCAGCGUCACCACAAGCCCAGCAAGUCGCCUUCGCCACUGGUGUUCCUGCGAAUAUCUACGAAUUUCACCUCUACACUCGCAAUUCCACUUGCCUCUGCUUGAGUCCAGGCUGGAAGUUUUGGAGGCAGUUCCGAGGUUGAGCCUCGGGAUUUCACCCCCAACUUUCCAGCCCGCCUACACGCGCUUUACGCCCAGUAAAUCCGAACAACGCUAGCCCCCUUCGUAUUACCGCGGCUGCUGGCAC
Molecule: ribosomal RNA, 292 nt
Filed under: uncultured bacterium
Lineage: Bacteria
Description: partial 16S ribosomal RNA
Source: RNAcentral